GCGGGUGUGGCGAAAUUGGUAGACGCGCUAGAUUUAGGUUCUAGUUUCGAGAGAAGUGAAGGUUCAAGUCCUUUCACCCGCACCA
This 85-nucleotide transfer RNA is filed under the name Sphingomonadales bacterium. RNAcentral describes it as "tRNA-Leu". It matches the Rfam family "tRNA". From Rfam's summary of the family: Transfer RNA (tRNA) molecules are approximately 80 nucleotides in length. Their secondary structure includes four short double-helical elements and three loops (D, anti-codon, and T loops). Further hydrogen bonds mediate the characteristic L-shaped molecular structure. tRNAs have two regions of fundamental functional importance: the anti-codon, which is responsible for specific mRNA codon recognition, and the 3' end, to which the tRNAs corresponding amino acid is attached (by aminoacyl-tRNA synthetases). tRNAs cope with the degeneracy of the genetic code in two manners: having more than one tRNA (with a specific anti-codon) for a particular amino acid; and 'wobble' base-pairing, i.e. permitting non-standard base-pairing at the 3rd anti-codon position. Lineage: Bacteria; Pseudomonadati; Pseudomonadota; Alphaproteobacteria; Sphingomonadales. RNAcentral also lists the same sequence under 2 other names. The record is from RNAcentral.